RNAcentral lists this ribosomal RNA (253 nucleotides) under uncultured bacterium. RNAcentral describes it as "partial 16S ribosomal RNA". It matches the Rfam family "Bacterial small subunit ribosomal RNA", at positions 524 to 776 of the family's 1533-position model. The record is from RNAcentral.
UACGGGGGGGGCAAGCGUUGUUCGGAAUUACGGGGCGUAAAGGGCUCGUAGGUGGCCAACUAAGUCAGACGUGAAAUCCCCAGGCUCAACUUGGGAACUGCGUCUGAUACUGGAUGGCUUGAAUUCGGGAGAGGGAUGCAGAAUUCCAGGUGUAGCGGUGAAAUGCGUAGAUAUCUGGAGGAAUACCGGUGGCGAAGGCGGCAUCCUGGACCGAUAUUGACACUGAUGAGCGAAAGCUAGGGGAGCAAACGGG